This is a non-coding RNA of Podarcis lilfordi (Lilford's wall lizard), 1017 nucleotides long. The record is from the annotation of a GenBank genome assembly. NCBI's taxonomy places the organism in Eukaryota, Metazoa, Chordata, Lepidosauria, Squamata, Lacertidae.
UACAGAACAUGAGUAUUAAAAACAUGAGUAUUGGGGAGUUAUGUCAAAGCUUGCAGGGCAAGAGUUGGUUUUGAAUAGGCCCCCAUAUCACACUAACGAUUAUUUCUAGGAAUCACAAUUAACCCCCCACUCUUAAUCACAUAAUGUUACUCAACUCACUUCCUCCAGCGCGCGCACAGAUAAUUUAUUUGCAUGUGCCAUGAUGCACUGGCUACGAAAUAUGAUGGUGUUGGACUUGCCUUUCAAAUAGGAGUCUGUCCCAGUCACACUGAAAAGGGGUAAUGAGGAGUCUGGUUUUUCCCCCAAGAACAAAAGGGGUACCAGAAUAGGGGUGAAGAACCCUUCCUCCCCUACCCAUGGCUACACCCCACCCCAGCUUCUACAAAGAUACUUUUCUCUCAGUCGACCUCUGAUUUACAAGUGAGCCUGGCUGCAUAAAAUGUGCCUGAGUGAUGGGUCCAAAGGAUCAACAACAGGGGGAGGGGGGCUAUUGUGAACAUCAGGUUAACCCUCUUGCACUCACCAACAGGCAGCACCUACCACAAGGCAGAGAGGGUUUAGGGGUAUUCCACUAGUGUGCCAUUUCCACUGCUGAAACUGGGAUCCCAAUCCUCAAUGUGAUAUGCAUCUAAAGAUAUGCGAACUGGGUGUAACAGCAGUUAAAGAAACAGAUCUGUUGCUGUUAUGUCUUGCAUCAGUCUGAGAUACCUGACGAGUUCUUCUUUCUUUCCUUUUUUGCAUGGGUUGGCAUUAUAGGGUUCUUGACUAGAGCUAAAAGCCCCUUGUCUUGAUUGUAGUAAACCCACCCAGUGGUAACCAAUUUGUAAGCUGCCCUGGGAAUAUUUAUAUUGAAGGGCAAUGUAUUAGAAAAUCAGAUUAAUUAGUUAAUCUAGUUUAAAUAGAUUAAAAAUUAGAUAAAAUUUUAAAAUUUAGAGAGGAACUUUGGAUACUUUCAGGCUACAGCAUACAACAGAGACUAAUCUUCUGGAGCUGUUACAUAUAUUUGAAUAUUUAUGC